Molecule: unclassified non-coding RNA, 381 nt
Filed under: uncultured bacterium
Lineage: Bacteria
Description: contains 16S-23S intergenic spacer region
Source: RNAcentral
UCCAACUUAUCGCUGGCGGUCUCCUGAGAGUGCCCAACUAAAUGGUGGCAACUAAAGACAAGGGUUGCGCUCGUUGCGGGACUUAACCCAACAUCUCACGACACGAGCUGACGACAGCCAUGCAGCACCUGUGUGGAAAGCUCCAUUGCUGGAGAAGCACGAUCUCUCAUGCAGUCUUUCCCAUGUCAAGCCUUGGUAAGGUUCUUCGCGUUGCGUCGAAUUAAACCACAUGCCCCACCGCUUGUGCGGGCCCCCGUCAAUUCCUUUGAGUUUCAACCUUGCGGUCGUACUCCCCAGGCGGGGUACUUCCUGCGUUAGCGCCGGCACCCAGAGGGUCGCUCCCCCAGGCACCUAGUACCCAUCGUUUACGGCGUGGACUAC